GAGUUUGAUCUGGCUCAGAUUGAACGCUGGCGGUGUGCUUAACACAUGCAAGUCGAACGGCAGCACGAGAGAGCUUGCUCUCUUGGUGGCGAGUGGCGGACGGGUGAGUAACGCGUAAGAAUCUGCCUAGUAGUGGGGGAUAACUCGGGGAAACUCGAGCUAAUACCGCAUACGACCUACGGGUGAAAGUGGGGGACCUUCGGGCCUCACGCUAUUAGAUGAGCUUGCGUUGGAUUAGCUAGUUGGUGAGGUAAUGGCUCACCAAGGCGACGAUCCAUAGCUGGUCUGAGAGGACGAUCAGCCACACUGGGACUGAGACACGGCCCAGACUCCUACGGGAGGCAGCAGUGGGGAAUAUUGGACAAUGGGCGCAAGCCUGAUCCAGCCAUGCCGCGUGAGUGAUGAAGGCCCUAGGGUUGUAAAGCUCUUUCACCGGUGAAGAUAAUGACGGUAACCGGAGAAGAAGCCCCGGCUAACUUCGUGCCAGCAGCCGCGGUAAUACGAAGGGGGCUAGCGUUGUUCGGAUUUACUGGGCGUAAAGCGCACGUAGGCGGACUUUUAAGUCAGGGGUGAAAUCCCGGGGCUCAACCCCGGAACUGCCUUUGAUACUGGAAGUCUUGAGUAUGGUAGAGGUGAGUGGAAUUCCGAGUGUAGAGGUGAAAUUCGUAGAUAUUCGGAGGAACACCAGUGGCGAAGGCGGCUCACUGGACCAUUACUGACGCUGAGGUGCGAAAGCAUGGGGAGCAAACAGGAUUAGAUACCCUGGUAGUCCAUGCCGUAAACGAUGUCUACUAGCCGUUGGGGCCUUUGAGGCUUUAGUGGCGCAGCUAACGCGAUAAGUAGACCGCCUGGGGAGUACGGUCGCAAGACUAAAACUCAAAUGAAUUGACGGGGGCCCGCACAAGCGGUGGGAGCAUGUGGUUUAAAUUCGAUGCAACGCGAAGAACCCUUACCCUACUCUUGACAUUUCAGAGAACUUAGCAGAAGAUGCUUUGGUGCCUUCGGGAACUUCUGAAGACAAGGUGCUGCAUGGGCUUGUUCGUCAGCUUCGUGU
Molecule: ribosomal RNA, 1054 nt
Filed under: uncultured bacterium
Lineage: Bacteria
Description: bacterial SSU rRNA
Rfam family: Bacterial small subunit ribosomal RNA
Source: RNAcentral